Trichechus manatus latirostris (Florida manatee) is the source of this 309-nucleotide long non-coding RNA. RefSeq lists it as uncharacterized. The transcript has 2 exons. Lineage: Eukaryota; Metazoa; Chordata; Mammalia; Sirenia; Trichechidae. The record is from RefSeq and is a predicted model, not a curated record.
CUCUGGGUCCUGGCUCCAUCUCUGCACUGUGUAUGCUGGGAUCCCUGAAGCUGUUGUCCUCCUUCCUGUACUUCCCUUUCCCAGUUCCAAUUUAUGGCCUACUCACGUUUCUUCACUGCAGGUGCAAAAUUGGAUGUUAUUCCUGGUGGACCUCCUGGACAUCUGCCCCUCCUCCCACGUUGACAAUUCAGUCAACAAAUGACACCAGAUCCUGGAUCUUGCAUAUCUAAGGGAGAAGACUCAAGUAAUUUUUUAAAGAUGUAUAUUUGCUUCAGGAAGAUUGUUUGUCCUUAAGUAAAUACCAACUUU